RNAcentral lists this ribosomal RNA (513 nucleotides) under uncultured bacterium. RNAcentral's name for it is "partial 16S ribosomal RNA". It matches the Rfam family "Bacterial small subunit ribosomal RNA", at positions 28 to 507 of the family's 1533-position model. The record is from RNAcentral.
GACGAACGCUGGCGGCGUGCUUAACACAUGCAAGUCGAACGAAAAGAGGGAAAGAGCUUGCUCUUUCCGGAAUUGAGUGGCAAACGGGUGAGUAACACGUAAACAACCUGCCUUCAGGAUGGGGACAACAGACGGAAACGACUGCUAAUACCGAAUAAGUUCCAAGAGCCGCAUGGCCCAUGGAAGAAAAGGUGGCCUCUACCUGUAAGCUAUCGCCUGAAGAGGGGUUUGCGUCUGAUUAGCUGGUUGGAGGGGUAACGGCCCACCAAGGCGACGAUCAGAAGCCGGUCUGAGAGGAUGGACGGCCACACUGGAACUGAGACACGGGCCAGACUCCUACGGGAGGCAGCAGUGGGGAAUCUUCCGCAAUAGGCGAAAGCCUGACGGAGCAACGCCGCGUGAGUGAUGACGGCCUUCGGGUUGUAAAACUCUGUGUUCCGGGACGAAAAGGCAGAGUGCGAAGAACAAACUGCAUUGACGGUACCGGAAAAGCAAGCCACGGCUAACUACGUG